CCUACGGGUGGCAGCAGUGGGGAAUAUUGGGCAAUGGGCGCAAGCCUGACCCAGCAACGCCGCGUGAAGGAAGAAGGCUUUCGGGUUGUAAACUUCUUUUCUCAGGGACGAAGCAAGUGACGGUACCUGAGGAAUAAGCCACGGCGAACUACGUGCCAGCAGCCGCGGUAAUACGUAGGUGGCAAGCGUUAUCCGGAUUUACUGGGUGUAAAGGGCGUGUAGGCGGGGACGCAAGUCAGAUGUGAAAACCACGGGCUCAACCUGUGGCCUGCAUUUGAAACUGUGUUUCUUGAGUACUGGGGAGGUAGACGGAAGUCCGGGUGUAGCGGUGAAAUGCGUAGAUAGUAGGAGGAACACCAGUGGCGAAGGCGGUCUACUGGACAGCAACUGACGCUGAGGCGCGAAAGCGUGGGGAGCAAACAGGAUUAGAUACCCCGGUAGUC
RNAcentral lists this ribosomal RNA (443 nucleotides) under uncultured bacterium. Its description in RNAcentral is "partial 16S ribosomal RNA". It matches the Rfam family "Bacterial small subunit ribosomal RNA", at positions 338 to 795 of the family's 1533-position model. The record is from RNAcentral.